RNAcentral lists this ribosomal RNA (400 nucleotides) under phytoplankton environmental sample. Its description in RNAcentral is "partial small subunit ribosomal RNA". It matches the Rfam family "Eukaryotic small subunit ribosomal RNA", at positions 587 to 982 of the family's 1831-position model. The record is from RNAcentral.
AGCUCCAGUAGCGUAUAUUAAAGUUGUUGCAGUUAAAAAGCUCGUAGUUGGAUUUCUGGUGUGCUGCGCCUGGCCCGCCGACGUUAGUCGUGUGAGUGCUGGUGCGCGGCUACCAUCCUUCUGGAGAACGUGUCUACCCUUCACUGGGCCGGAUUCGGGAUCCAGAUCUUUUACUUUGAAAAAAUUAGAGUGUUUAAAGCAGGCUUUUUGCUAUGAAUACAUUAGCAUGGAAUAAUAAUAUAGGACUUUGGUUCUAUUUUGUUGGUUUCUAGGACUAAAGUAAUGAUUGAUAGGGAUAGUUGGGGGUGCUAGUAUUUAGCGGCCAGAGGUGAAAUUCUUGGAUUCGCUAAAGACUAACUUAUGCGAAAGCAUUCACCAAGGAUGUCUUCUUUAAUCAAGA